Long non-coding RNA from Onychomys torridus (southern grasshopper mouse), 185 nucleotides. RefSeq lists it as uncharacterized. The transcript is spliced from 3 exons. The record is from RefSeq and is a predicted model, not a curated record. Lineage: Eukaryota; Metazoa; Chordata; Mammalia; Rodentia; Cricetidae.
GACCCUGCAACCUACCCCUUCAUUUAUGGAUGGCCUUCCACUGGAGCACAGGAGAAUGGAAGGGGUAAACUAACCAGGGACCACACCUUAAAACUGACUCUUCCUAUCAAGCGCCAAGAGCUCUUUAGCUACGGUGCUUCCCUCAGGUCCAAUUUCAAGCCAACAACAUGUCACAGAACACAGAG